UCGGUUAGUCGAUCCUAAGAGAUGGGGAAUCCUUGCAUCAAGGGUGCACUCUGCAUGAACAUCGAAAGAGAAUUGGGUUAAUAUUCCCGAACUGGGACAUGGUGGUGGACGACAAUGUUAGGAAAUCUGGAUAUGUCAUCGGGGGCCUGGGAAGAGUUAUCUUUUCUUUUUAACGACUUUCCCACCAUGAAAUUGGUUCAACCAAAGAUAGGGUCCAACAUCUGAAAGAGAACCACAUGUCUUGUGGUGUUUGGUGCCCCCUUGGCAUCCAUUGUUAAUAUGGUGAACCGAGUACCAUCCAUGCUCGAUUGUACUCAUAUCUGCUUCCUUGGAAUUUUCAAUGUCCACUAGGUUAGCGAUCUUG
Non-coding RNA from Picea glauca (white spruce), 364 nucleotides. NCBI's taxonomy places the organism in Eukaryota, Viridiplantae, Streptophyta, Pinopsida, Pinales, Pinaceae. The record is from Rfam.